This 90-nucleotide transfer RNA is filed under the name Actinomycetospora sp. NBRC 106375. Its description in RNAcentral is "tRNA-Asp". Lineage: Bacteria; Bacillati; Actinomycetota; Actinomycetes; Pseudonocardiales; Pseudonocardiaceae. The record is from RNAcentral.
CCUCGCCGUGCCGACCGGGAACGCGCCGGCGCCGUCGGCGCCGGCGGAGUCCGAGCGAAGGGCCCCGUCGCUCGGGUAGACGGGCGAGGG